This 1322-nucleotide ribosomal RNA is filed under the name uncultured bacterium. Its description in RNAcentral is "partial 16S ribosomal RNA". It matches the Rfam family "Bacterial small subunit ribosomal RNA", at positions 29 to 1381 of the family's 1533-position model. The record is from RNAcentral.
ACUAAUGCUGGUGGUAUGCUUAACACAUGCAAGUCGAACGGACUUUAUUGAGCUUGCUCUUUAAAGUUAGUGGCAAACGGGUGAGUAAUGUAUAAGAAUCUACCUAGCAGUAAGGAAUAACUUUGGGAAACUGAAGCUAAUACCAUAUAUUACCGUUUAUUCGGGAAAGAUUUAUCGCUGUUAGAUGAGCUUAUAUCAGAUUAGCUAGUUGGUAGGGUAAUGGCCUACCAAGGCAAUGAUCUGUAACUGGUCUGAGAGGAUGGCCAGUCACACUGGGACUGCGACACGGCCCAGACUCCUACGGGAGGCAGCAGUGGGGAAUAUUGGACAAUGGGCGCAAGCCUGAUCCAGCAAUACCACGUGAAUGAUGAAGGCCUUAGGGUUGUAAAAUUCUUUUAGUAGGGAAGAUAAUGACGGUACCUACAGAAAAAGCACCGGCUAACUUCGUGCCAGCAGCCGCGGUAAUACGAAGGGUGCUAGCAUUGUUCGGAAUCAUUGGGCGUAAAGCGUAUGUAGGCGGCUUAGCAAGUUGGUUGUGAAAUCCCGAGGCUCAACCUCGGAAUUGCAAUCAAAACUGCUUCGCUAGAGUGUAGUAGAGGAUAGUGGAAUUCCUAGUGUAGGGGUGAAAUCCGUAGAUAUUAUGAAGAAUACCAGUGGCGAAGGCGGCCUCCUGGAUCUGUACUGACACUGAGGUGCGAAAGCGUGGGUAGCGAACAGGAUUAGAUACCCUGGUAGUCCACGCCGUAAACGAUGACAACUAGCUGUUGGGAGACAAUGUCUUUCAGUGGCGCAGCUAACGCUUUAAGUUGUCCGCCUGGGGAGUACGGCCGCAAGGCUAAAACUCAAAUGAAUUGACGGGGACCCGCACAAGCGGUGGAGCAUGUGGUUUGAUUCGAUGCAACGCGAAAAACCUUACCUACUCUUGACAUACUUGGAAGCUCUUGUAAUGAGAGUGUGCCUUUUGGAACCAAGAUACAGGUGCUGCAUGGCUGUCGUCAGCCUCCCCUCGUGAGAUGUUCCGUUAAGUUGGAUAACGAGCGCAACCCUUACCCUUAUUUGCCAGCGAUUCGGUCGGGAACUAUAAGGGGACUGCCGGUGAUAAACCGGAGGAAGGUGAGGACGACGUCAAGUCAUCAUGGCCCUUACGAGUAGGGCUACACACGUGCUACAAUGGGGAAUACAGACGGACGCUAAGCCGCGAGGUGGUGCUAAUCCUAGAAAGUUUCUCGUAGUCCGGAUUGGAGUCUGCAACUCGACUCCAUGAAGUCGGAAUCGCUAGUAAUCGCGGAUCAGCAUGCCGCGGUGAAUACGUUCUCGGGUCU